Molecule: long non-coding RNA, 1007 nt
Organism: Cryptomeria japonica (Japanese cedar)
Lineage: Eukaryota; Viridiplantae; Streptophyta; Pinopsida; Cupressales; Cupressaceae
Exons: 4
Source: RefSeq, a predicted model, not a curated record
UCCUUCAAUUUCAAUUUUCCCUUGAGUAUAUUCUCCUCUUCUUCACCCCAAACAAACCCUGAAAACUGCAAAACAUUCCUCUUAAAAUGAUAAGCCUUUCCGCGCCUUCCAUAAAGAAGUCAUUUCAACACCUCUGGUGAGCUUGGAUAGUUUAUAUGCCACAUUUGGAGUGUUCUUAAGCUGUGUGCCUUUGCCCUGUUCAAUGAUGAAUUCUCUGGAGCUAUCCCUAAUGGUGGAAGGAUCAAAGGUUUUUACAGGCUUCUUUUCUCUCACAGGCCGAUCCAGCGGAGUAGUGGGCAGGCGUUGAAAGUAAAUCCUCAGUUUUCUCCUCUCUGAAUUCUUCAGCCAUAUCGAGAUUCGAACGAAUUCAAAAUUUCCAUUCAUGGCACAGACAUUGGAUUCAUGGGUGGGCCCAUUUGUCAUGUUGGUAUUAACACUUCUCACAGGCCAUUGACAACUGAGGAUUAGUGAGCUGCAUCACCAACUUAGUUUGGAGCUAUUACCUUCAAAAUUGGUAUAGAAUCAUCAAUUACCUUAUAAGCCUGUGAGCUGUAGUCAGUUAUAUUCUUGAUGGAGUCAAGUAAUACCUCAGUCACAUUUGUUGACUUGAAUGUGGAUGAUGAUCCAAUAAUCUGAGUGCCGGUGGAAGUGACCAUGCUUGUAUUGACUUCUGACAGGAGAUUGCAGGUAUAGUACCGCAUAGGUACGAGGUUCGUCUUCACCUAGAUUCGCAAGUUUGAGAGUACCUGAUUGGUCCUAAGGAAUUGGAUUAGGUAGUCGUAAGACCCUACGUUUUACCCUUGUCAUGCUCAAGUGAGCAUCGUCAGUCAUCUAUCAAUUUCCCCUUUGGUUGGGUAUGCGGGUCGUGUAUUUGUUUGGUUGUCUUGGGUUCCGUGUUGUGCAUGUGGUAAAAAUUGAUUAUUAAAUCCCAAGUAUUUAAAUUAGAUUAAUGUGUUUUUUUACGCAUUAGUAAAUUAAAGGGACUAAAUUAAAUAGGACCCCUUUGU